Molecule: ribosomal RNA, 200 nt
Filed under: uncultured bacterium
Lineage: Bacteria
Description: partial 16S ribosomal RNA
Rfam family: Bacterial small subunit ribosomal RNA
Source: RNAcentral
AGCGAACGCUGGCGGCAGGCCUAACACAUGCAAGUCGAACGGACCCUUCGGGGUUAGUGGCGGACGGGUGAGUAACACGUGGGAACGUGCCCUUUGGUUCGGAACAACUCAGGGAAACUUGAGCUAAUACCGAAUGUGCCCUUCGGGGGAAAGAUUUAUCGCCAUUGGGAGCGGCCCGCGUCUGAUUAGCUUGUUGGUGA